RNAcentral lists this long non-coding RNA (2533 nucleotides) under Ananas comosus (pineapple). Its description in RNAcentral is "long non-coding RNA (ACOM_LNC028623)". Lineage: Eukaryota; Viridiplantae; Streptophyta; Magnoliopsida; Poales; Bromeliaceae. The record is from RNAcentral.
UUUUUUUUUGAGAGAUAGACUACAAUAUGAUGAGAUUGAGACUAUCCGUUUCGUUUAUUUCAUUUAGAAAUAAAUUUAGCUGGAAAUGUGAAUCAAUUAGAAUUCGAAUUUGGGACCUCCAGUACCGACCACAAAGCCCUUUACUACUUGUUCUAGAAACGGUCGGUGUCCCGCAUUUAAAAUGUCAGAACUUAAUUAGGCUCAAUCCAGGACUACAUGUUAGAUUAAUUACAAUCUACAAUAAGGGCUUGUUUGGUUCAUCCAUUUUGGAUAUAGAAUGAGAAUCGGUUUGAUCAAAUCCGGGUAAUUUUGUUUGGUUCGCAUGAAUCGGUUUGGGAUUCCUAUUUCGGACUGGAAUGGAAAUGGCCCAUUAGCCUUCAACUUGAUUCCGGUCUUCUAGCCCUGAUUGAGAUUUCAGUCCAGAAGUCCACUAAGUUCUCGAAGCCCAUGUGACCAUUUCACCCUCCUUCUCUUCACUCCUUUCUCAUCAAAAAAAAAAAAAAAAAUCUAUCCUCUCUCAAAGUCUUAUCCCUAACCCACAUCAAUAAAAGUUUUUAAAAAUAAAUUUGAUAUUUUUUUUGAAAAACUUAUUAGAGAAUAGUAUUAUAUUUUUCAUAAAUUUUAAAUAAUAUAAAUUUAUAUUUGAGACUAAAAUUAAUAUUAUAGUAUCCUAUAAAUUUUUUAGUUUAUACGAAUCAAACAAUAAAAUGUGAAUAACUCAUUCCAAUUCCCAAUCCACAAAUAAACCAAACGUUUUGGGGGAGUGGGUCAUUCCAAUUACCAUUCCAAUUCAUUCACAUUUCAUUAUCCAUUCCAAUUCCACCCUCGAACCAAACAAGCAAUAGUAAUUCCACAAUACUCUCAUUUCAAAAAUUAGUUCAAAUUUCAGAUAUUUUUUGGACCAAGAGUUGUAAAUUUUUUUUUUUUUUGGAUAAAUAGUAAUAGUAACUAUUUAUUCAAAUUUCAGAUAAAAAGUAAUACUUAUUAGCGCACGUAUCUAAUAACCAAUAUUUAUAUUGAUUAAUUAAUUGAUAUUUUGACUAAUUUAAUUAUCUGAUUAUUAUUAACUAAUUAAUUUAUUAAAUUACUUGCAAUUAUUUAAAUUAUUAAUUACUAAUUAAUUUAUUAAUUAACAUUUAGGGAUUAUUUAGCAAUAUUCAUUAAUGAUUAAUUAGUGAAUUAAGUAAGUUGAAUUAUUAUUUAAUCAAUAUUUUUCUAUUAAUUAAUUAGAUAAAAUAUUAUUAUUAUUAUAUUAAAAAUAUAGUUAUUCUUAUCUUUACUAUUCCAAUCUACCAAUCCAAACAUUAUUUUAUUUACUCCCCAAAAAAACACAAUUUUCAUCUUAACCCAAAAUUAAUUUUAUCCCUACUUAUUCUAAAAAUUAUAUCUAUCUCAAAAUUAAUCUAAAAUAGCUUAUUUUCGAACCAAAAGGCAAGUACCUUAUAGCAUAUUUCCAUCUAAAUUUAAGGGGCAAUUGUUUAUAGGGAUAAUUGCCUAUAUACCCCUCAUACGUUUGAAAAUAUCCAAUUUACCCAUAUUUUUUUUUUCUUUCUAAAAUACCCUUCAUAUGUUUCACCGUUAUUACAAAAUACUCCCGCAGUUAUCUCCUGUUAAGUUAACUUGGGUUAAACAUGAGUUAAACAUCUAUCACAGUUAAAAAAAAAUUAAAAUACCAAUUUCGCCCUUAACUUAAGGGCAAAUAAGAAAUAUUGGUGACGUUAGAGGGGUAUAUUGGAAAAGAUCAAAAGUCAAAAUGCUUUUUGUGCCCCUGACUUUAAGGGCAAAUAAGAAAGUCAGUGAUGAUGGAAGGGUAUAUUUGAAAGGACAAAAUAGUAAUUUUACAGAGUUAAUAGAGUUAAUUAACCGAUUUUAACUCUAGAGGUAUAUUGAAAAUAUGUUGGAAUGUAAAGAGGGUAUUUUCAAUAUUACCCUUUUAAGAGGAGUAAAUCGAAAAGUCGAAAACUUUUCAAGGGUAUAUAAGCAAUUGGCCCUUGUUUAUAUACCUCUGAAAAGUUUCCGAUUUUAUAAUUACCCUUCUUAGAAGGCUAAUAUUAAAAAUACCCUUUUUACGUUUCAACCUAUUUCAAAUAUACCCCUAUUAGAGUUAAAGUCUGUUAAUAAACUCCGUUAUCUUUAUGAAAUUACUAUUUUGCCCUUUCAAAUAUAACUUUCUACCGGCACCGAUUUUUCUUAUUUGUCCUUAAGUUAGGGAAAUAAAAAGUAUUUUGCUUUUUGGUCUUUUCAAAUAUACCAUUCUACUAUCACCAAUAUUUUUUAUUUUUCCUUAAGUUAAGGGCAAAACUAUCAUUUUAAUUUUUUUUUAACUGUGGUAGAUAUUUAACUCACGUUUAACCCAAGUUAACUUAACGGGUGAUAACUGUAGAGGUAUUUUGGAAUAAUGCAGAAAUAUAUGAGGAGUAUAUUGAAAAAUAUAUAUAUAAAUAAAUAAGAUAUUUUCAAAAUUUUGGGGGGUAUAUAAGUAAUUAUCCCUAAAUUUAAUUAACACCAUCCAACCCUCAUAAAUUUCCGCCUC